This 774-nucleotide non-coding RNA is filed under the name Graphium chironides. Lineage: Eukaryota; Metazoa; Arthropoda; Insecta; Lepidoptera; Papilionidae. The record is from RNAcentral.
UAUAAAUUUUAUGAUUUAAAAAAUUUAUUUUAAAUUUAUUUUACAUAUAAAUUUUAGUAUGAAUUUUAUAUUAUUUUAAUAAUAUUAUAAAAUUAAAGUAGUAAUUAGCAUUAAAAAUUUAAGAAAUUAAGAUUUAGUAAUAUUUAUAAAUUAUAAACAAAUUUUGUGCCAGCAGUUGCGGUUAUACAAAAUAUAAUUUAAAUUUUAUUAGUAAUUAAUUAAUAUGAAAAUUAUUAAAAUUAAAUAUAAAAUUAUUAAGUGAAAUUUUAAUUUAUAAAAAUUUUAAAUUAUAUUAUGUUUUAAAAAAUUUUAUAAAAAACUAGGAUUAGAUACCCUAUUAUUAAAAAUUAAAUUAAAAUACUAAAAUAGUAAUUAAUAAUUUAUUGAAACUUAAAUAAAUUGGCGGUAUUUUAGUUCAUUUAGAGGAAUCUGUUUAAUAAUUGAUAAUCCACGAAUAAACUUACUUAAUAUAUAAUUUUGUAUAUCGUUGUUAAAAAAAUAUUUUUUAAUAAUAAUAAUAUUUUAAAAUUUUAAUUAAAAUUAGUUCAGAUCAAGAUGCAGAUAAUUAUUAAGAAUAUAAUGGAUUACAAUAAUAUAAUAAUUAAAUGAAUAAUAAUUUGUAAAAAUUAUUUGAAGGUGGAUUUAAAUGUAAUUUUAUUAAUUUUAUUAAAAUGAUUUUAAAUUAAAAUAUGUACAUAUUGCCCGUCGCUUUCAUUAAUAAAUUGAAAUAAGUCGUAACAAAGUAGAGGUACUGGAAAGUGUUUCUAGAAAGAA